This is a long non-coding RNA of Rhincodon typus (whale shark), 1951 nucleotides long. RefSeq lists it as uncharacterized. The record is from RefSeq and is a predicted model, not a curated record. The transcript has 2 exons. Lineage: Eukaryota; Metazoa; Chordata; Chondrichthyes; Orectolobiformes; Rhincodontidae.
UUUAGAUCUCCUUUCUCCUGGUGUGAAGGGUAAGAUUUUCAAAGUCCAGCGAACCUACCGACUCUUUGCAGUUGUCUAUCACCAUGGAAACAGUGCAACUGGUGGACAUUACACUACAGAUGUCUUCCACAUUGGUCUUAACGGCUGGCUGCGCAUUGAUGACCAGAUAGUGAAAGUGAUAAAUCAGUACCAAGUUGUGAAGCCCUCUGCUGAACGUACAGCCUACCUCCUGUACUAUCGCCGAGUUGAUCUGCUGUGAACUGUCAGUGCACUGUUGCUCUAGCAUCUCACCCCUCAGAGCACCAACUGUCAGAUAAACCCUUCCCUCCCUCAUUGCAACUUUUCAAAUCCACUCUCAGUAACUUCAGAUUUAAGUUUAAAGGGGAAAAACCUGGGGAUGUGCACCAGCAGCAAAUCUUGUAGGUAUAUGUCUGUGACAUCUUUCAUAACAUUUUAACUUCAUACAAAUCAGUUGCUAAUGUUUUUGCUUUUGAUAAUAGGUAACACUUGAGCCCAUGUUUUUGGGGGAGGGAUAAGUGUUCCAUUGUACUGAAUGCUUUGGUGUUUUGAUGAGAAAAACUUGCGUGUGAUAUUACUGGGUGUUGAGUAGCAGUAGGAUGCUGACAGUUUUUAAACAAAAAGCUUAAUGAAAAUGCUUAAAACUGCACGUUACAAAAUAACAUGCAAAUCUACAUUUGAGGUUGAAAUAUUGAGACUGCUUAGAUGGGUGAUUGUAACUUUAAUGCAGUUACUAAGACUUCUGAUUGCAAUUAUGCUUCUGUGUACACAGUUGAAACUUGAUAUAAAAAGAAAAGAUGAUUGAUAUAAUUCCAUUAAUGGUUCAGUCUGGCUUUGUUUACUUUGUGGUUUUGCUCUUCUCUCAUUGUUGAAAUAGAGCUGUACACAAUUUAGUGAUAUUUAUAGAAAAUUGAGUUUAUCACCCAUCAGUUAAUAAAUUCAUUUCAAGCUCUUUAAAUAACUGUUUGGGCGUGAAUUGGACGCAAGAUCACAAUGGUGCAAAGAAUUUUGAUUUGAGAACAGUCUGUUUCAGCUUUCCCAGUAUUGGUACCAGAAAAUGGUAAAAUUUAAAACCCUCUGCAGUUCUAGAAUUGAGUUACCCAUUCAAAAACAUUUAGACAAACCACCUUUUAAUUUUGUUUGCGCCACCUUAAUUGGGCUGUAACAAAAUACUUCCAGUGAAAUUUCACUGUAAUUAAAUGCUUCUUUUGCUAAUUAUAACAUUCUUACAAACUUGCAGUUAACUGACAACUCAUUCCACUAUUGAUUGCCACACAGCCAUUAUAGUGAUCUCACCAACUUAUUCCCAUGCCAGUGGAAUUAGUUGCUUGUUUGGGUCAAUUAAAUGUUACCACCUGUCCAAUAAGUAAUGAUCUCAUCAAAAGAAGUCCUCAUUAUUGCCAUACUUCUGUCAGCUAACAGUUUGAAUUAAAGUGCACCUGUAUUUUAAUGAACUGAAUUCUUAUUACUGCCGUAAGAAAUGUCUCUCAACCCAUUAGGCUGCGGCAAAUGUUUUUAGUGAUUGUUGUGAGGAUACCAGUUUCUGUUGGGAUGGAGGGUAGCUGGUGCUGGGGACUUAAUCUCUGUUUUUAAAAACUUUUUUCCAUGUUUGGUUGCCAGGGAUUGAUAGACAGCUAUCUGCAAUUUUUGCUUGAUGAUCUGUUUAGUUCAUGUAUUCAAAAACUUAUUUUCCCAGCCUUUUUAAUUCUUCACUUGUGCAUUCCCUAAUAAAGACUUCCCCGUACCUUUAAAUCCUUUCUUAAAUGACCAAACAUGGCUGACAUUUUAAUGUGAGAUAUUUUCAGAGCUUUUUAAGAACUAUACAUACGUGGUAACCAAAUGAUUUGCUUUUAGAUUCUGUGAACUUUGAUCUUGAGUUAAUUUGUUGUCUUGCAGAUGAAACUACCUUGAAUAAAAGUCUAUUACUAUGAAA